AUUGCUCUAGUCAAGUAGGGGCAAGAUCAGUGGAGUAGGAGCAGUUCAGCUUAACAACGUUAGGAACUGAACUUCCCGUUGGGAGAGGAGGGUAGGUCCUUAGCAAGCUCACUUGAGGCUAAACUUUUCCCAUCCCUCUGCUAAUGCCCUCUUAAAUUCAUCAUUUUCACUCUUCCAAAUACAUAGGUAGUGUUUCCUCCGUUUCUUUGAAAUUUCAAGUGUUAAACCAUGAGUUGUACAUCAUACUUUUAAACUCUGGUGUUACACUUGGCAACCAAUUGAACUCUUGUUUUCGGAAAAUACUUGGAAGUUGCCAAGGCAGUUCCUAAAGGAGGAAAAUUAUACUCCCACUCCCCUUUUUGUUUUGGUUGGAAAUGUUGACACAUGGAAGGAGGAGGCGGGUGCGGAGAAGUGGCGGUGGAGUGGGGGCUGGCGGAGAAACCCCUGAGCCUGAAGGGUUGAACUGACCGUCUGAAACCCGAGAUCCCUGCCUAAAUUUUGAGAAGAAGAAAAAAGCUACAAAAGUAAACAGACUCCCCUCCUCCCCCUCCCCUGAAAUGUCUUCAUAUCUGUGGCCAAAUGUGAAAAUGCGCCGCUUUGCAUAAACAAAAUCCGGCCCGGAUCGCUCAGGCAGCGACUGCCUUGUCAAGUUUCUGCCCGCCGCCCAUGACUUAAAUGACCCUGAAAGGAGUAAGUGAAUGGAUCGGCCUAAAGCCCCAUUCUAAAAUAUUCAUUUACUAGCUUUUACACGGCUUUAAUAGACUCCCAUAGAGAUGGGUUUAUGAAAGGGGUCGUGAGGGGUGGGGUGGGGUGAGCGGGAAGGAGAGAAAAGAGGCGGAUUCUUGUAGCAUUUUCCAUCUGUCUCUCCAUCCAGCCUCUGCCGCCGCUCCCCCCACCCCGCCCGCCCGCCCGCCCGGGCCACAAGCCCUGAGCGGAGUUUGUUGAUGUUGUUCCUUGAAAGGAGUCCUGCCCUCCCUGCAGGGCCAGCGAGCGGUCUCGCGUCUCCCUCUGGCCCACAUUUGCUUUUGAAAAGCGAUCCCCUGUCAGACACUUAGUCGUCCCUUUUCAUGUGUGAGUCCCCACAAAAGAGACUUACAAGGCAGGACGUGGAAAGCGGGGAGAAGAGAAUGAGGCAAAAUGAAUCUAUUUUCCAGAUUGCUGAGCACAUGGUUACAAAUCGAAGGAGCUUUGUAGCUCUUUCUACUCUCCUCCGCCACCUCCGCGACGCGUCAUCUUCUCCCCCCGCAGCUGCGACCCUGCGCUUCUGUCCAAAUUGUUAAAACUGCUGUGUAAACCUGGGCGGCAAAAAGGGUGGCCUACCCGUUUCCAGCGGCAAGCUUUGAUGACGUUAGGAUAUAUUUUCUGUUGGGUAAACAGCUUCCGCGCUCUCGCUUUUUCUGCAUAGGCUUCGGGUUGUAAAUAAAGAGUGCGUGGCCGUGACUGCGUGGUUGGGGGGCGGUCUGAGCGCGAAGUUGUCCGCACAGUGCGCCUUUUCACAAGGCGAAAGGGGAAUAUUUCCAUCAUUAGGCCCUGAGAUGCAAACAGCUGGCUGCAAAGAUGCAGAUAGGAUUGAAUCUGAUUCAUUAGCCACUUGAAAUCAAUUUCUGGGUCCAAUGUUCAGAUAUUUAUUGCGGAUUAGGCAAAGAAAAGGGGGGAGGGAGUGGGGGACGGGUAACAAACUAACAAGGGCCGCGCGUGUGGGCCUGAAGCGCUCGGUUUUAUGCAGAUGGUCGGCCGGAUCAAACUCCCUAGGUCAGGUCAACUGCGAAGAAAAUCCCAUUGAUUUCAAUGGAGCUUACUCCAUCUCAUAGGAGGCUUGCGGGAACGCUUGGAAACGAACCCCACGGAAAUGCGCCCCUGGUUUGCCGCUCAGUGUGUGCCUCGGGUUACAUAGUGUAGCCGCCCCGCAACGGUGGUUUGUUUGGAUCAUCUCUUCCAAGCUACCGGCGCCCCUGAAAAGCGUCUAUUUCCGUGUGGAGAGAAGUCGGCAAAUCCGUGUCAAAUCUUUCCUCCGUGGGACUGAAAUCUCGAAGGACUCCCGAGCAGUUCCGCGUAUUUCUCAGGGCGGAAUCCCGCGGCGUAAAAAUGCCUGGCCUCUUUCCCGCGGCUACGACAUUAAACCGAACUUUGCACAGUCCUCCUCUCUGUUAAGGCAGGACCGAGGCGCAGAGUUCAGAGGUUAAAGGUUAUAAUGCGUAAGCAGCUUAUUCCAGAGCUGGAGCCUCCAGUAGAACAAUCGCAAAGUAAGAAGCCCGAGGGGCUGACUGCAGCAGCAGCAGCAGCAGCAGCAGCCCUGGCCUGCAUCUGUUGCCUCUUGCCCUGGCAGGAGUGCGGCGCCAGGGAGAGCGUGUGAGUCCUUCUCCCUUGCAAUGCGGUGGAUCUGGAGUCACAAAGGAGCCCAGGCUGGCUCCUCUCGCUCGCCCUCAUCCCCUAAGAUCAGGUGAUGCUGUUUGCUUUAGGGGAGCUGUUAGGUCGCUUUCUUUCCUCUUCUCCAGUCCGUCCAAGUUUCCCCCUUGGUUGAUGAGAGAAGGCCAGGUGUGAGGAUGGCGUGGGAAAAAGGCAUGUCCGUCCUUUGGACCACGAGGCUCCUUAAUCUCUAACUGUCGACCUUCGCCUGGGUUUACGUGGUCUGAAUGGCGGAAAAGCUGGACUAAGAAGGUAGCAGCGCAAGGAAGCAGUCAAAGGGCCUGCAACUCAGACUCCAAACGACAGACACUCACUCUUACCCAAAUUGUUCAGAUGUUAGUAGAGAAGCGAGUGUGGGAAGGGCGAGACCUUUGUUUUCUCCCUUAGCAGGAAGCACAAGCUUUUUGGAGAGUUGCGGCAGGAAAAGAAUUCAAUAAUAAUCAUUUAAAUAUCGUAACUGCUCUAACACACAAGCACUAAAACUACGAAAUUCAUCCCCUCAGAAACUCGAUCACUAAACUUUCUUUAGAGUUCCGGAAUGCAGUUGAGAAUAUUUAAGAUUAUUUGUCUUGUUGAAACAAAUCCAGUUUGCGUUAAUGGUCUACUUCGGAGUAAACAAGUCAAACAUCAAAGCCUAACAUACCGUCGAAAUCGAUGGCGUUAAUUCCGGGGUGGGGAAUCGGUGGCCCUCCUGAAGCCGCUCGACUCCAAUUCCCAUCAGCCUCAGCUGGUUAGGGAUGAUGGGAGCUGGGAGGCCGAUAACAUCUAAACAGCCUCAGGUUCCCCUGCGCUUGGUUAAUGCUAAAUAAAUGUGCAUCUUUUUAA
Molecule: long non-coding RNA, 3231 nt
Organism: Podarcis raffonei (Aeolian wall lizard)
Lineage: Eukaryota; Metazoa; Chordata; Lepidosauria; Squamata; Lacertidae
Exons: 2
Source: RefSeq, a predicted model, not a curated record